RNAcentral lists this long non-coding RNA (11990 nucleotides) under Pelobates cultripes (western spadefoot toad). The record is from RNAcentral. Lineage: Eukaryota; Metazoa; Chordata; Amphibia; Anura; Pelobatidae.
GUGUUUAUGUCUGUGUGUGUGUGUGUCAGUAUGUCUGUGUGUGUGUGUGUGUGUGUGUGUGUGUGUGUGUGUGUGUGUGUGUGUGUGUGUGUGUGUGUGUGUGUGUGUGUGUGUCAGUGUGUCUGUGUGUAUGCCAGUAUGUCUGUGUGUGUGUGUGUCAGUAUGUCUGUGUGUAUGCCAGUAUGUCUGUGUGUGUAUGCCAGUAUGUUUGUGUGUGUAUGCCAGUAUGUCUGUGUGUGUGUGUCAGUAUGUCUGUGUGUAUGCCAGUAUGUCUGUGUGUGUAUGCCAGUAUGUCUGUGUGUGUGUGUCAGUAUGUCUGUGUGUAUGCCAGUAUGUCUGUGUGUGUAUGCCAGUAUGGCUGUGUGAGUGUGUGUGUGUGUGUCAGUAUGUCUGUAUGUAUGCCAGUAUGUCUGUGUGUGUAUGUCAGUGUGUGUGUGUCAGUAUGUCUGUGUGUAUGCCAGUAUGUCUGUGUGUGUGUGUCAGUAUGUCUGUGUGUGUGUAUUUAGGUAUGUCUCUGUGUGUGUGUGUGUACGUGUGUGUCAGUAUGUCUGCCAGGAUAUAUUUGUGUGUCAGUGUAUGUGUGUGUCAGUAUGUAUCUGUGAAUGUUUUAAUGUCUGUCUGUGUGUAUGUGCCAGUCUGUCUGUGUGUGUGUCUGUGUGUGUGUGUCAGCAUGUCUUUGUGUGUCAGUAUGUCUGUGUGUGUAUGUAAGUAUGUCUGUGUGUGUAUGUGUGUGUCAGUCAGUAUGUCUGUCAGUGUAUGUGUCUGUGUGUGUAUGUAUGUAUGUCUGUGUGUGUGUGUGUCAGUAUGUCUGCCAGGAUAUAUUUGUAUGUCAGUGUAUGUGUGUGUCAGUAUAUAUCUGUGAAUGUUUUAAUGUCUGUCUGUAUCAGCCAUUACGUCUGUCUGUAUCAGCCAUUACGUCUGUCUGUGUAUAUGUCAGUAUGCCUGUGUGUGUGUGUCAAUGUGUCUGUCAGUGUAUGUGUCUGUGUGUUUUAGUAUAUCUGUCAGUGUAUGUGUUUGUGUGUGUGUCAGUAUAUCUGUUAAUGUAUGUGUCUGUGUAUGUAUGUAUGUAUGUAUGUCUGUGUGUGUGUCAGUAUGUCUGCCAGUAUAUAUUUGUGUGUAGUGACUGUGUGUGUCAGUAUGUAUCUGUGAAUGUUUUAAUGUCUGUCUGUGUGUGUAUGUGCCAGUACGUCUGUCAGUGUGAUUGCGGGUUGGACGUAAUUGGGGGGUGAGGCAGUGGCAGGGACAGGGCCCAUGGGGCCCAAGAAAAUGCAUUGCCCAGGGUCCUAAUCAUAUUAUAGACGGCCCUGACGCUGAGGACUGAAGGAGGGAGGAGCAUGUCUCUCUUUCAUGCUCCCUUGCGGUUCCCACAAUUCCCAGCACAGGAUGCAUGCGGCCCCCUCUGACUUCUGUCAGUAAAUGGGAGGGGGGAAAAUAAAACAGAGAGAGGGAAUAGAUAGACGUAGGGGAAGAGGGAAGAAAGAGACAGUGGGAGAAUAGAGAGACACGGGGAGGAGGGAGAAAGAGACACAGAGGGGGAAGAAUGAGACACAGGGGUAAGAGAGACUGGGAAGGAGAGGGGAGACAUGGGCACAGGAGCAGUGAGGGGGAGAAAUAAACAUACAGAGGGAUUGGGGGGAGACAAAAAGGCACACAGAGGGGCUGUAUAUAUCACUGGUGGAUCCAGGGGGGCAACGGGGCAAUUGCCCCCCCCUCCCCUGCUGGCCGUUCUCUCUCCCUGGUCCGCAGGCACCGUGCGGGCAGCCAGCAGGGGAGGGAGGAAGAGAGGACCCGGGAACUCAGCCUGCAGCUCCUCUGGGUCCUUCUUGCGCAAGCACAGAGCAUUGCUGCGGUUACCACAGGAACGUUACGGCUCUCGCGAGAGUCAACUCUAGCCCUGAAGCUACAGGCUAGACUUCACUCUCAACACUGUGACCACCAGGCAUUCCUGGUGGUCGCAGUGGUGAGAGUGAACUCUAGCCCCAUAAACACACUGCCCCCACACACACACCAUACACAUUCACACACUGCCCCCACACACACACCAUACACAUUCACACACUGCCCCCCAUACACACACACUGCCCCCACACAAACCAUACACAUUUACACACAUUGCCUCACACACACACAUACACUGCCCACCAAUACACACACAGACCCCCAUACACAACCCCCUCAUACAUACAUUGCCCCCCACACCCUACACAUUCACACACUACACCCCCCCACACACACUGCACCCCUCACACAUUGCACCACUGCUCCUAUACCCUACUACAGCCCCAUAUCCCAGCAGACCCCAGGUAAGUUGUCAAACUGUUCUUAAACGGUUUGACUACUUACUCUGGGAGGGGGUCCCAGCCCUCCUGGCACCAUAACCACUACACAGAACAGUAGUGGUUAUUGUGCAUGGAUUAUUUCUUAUGUCUGUGUGUGUAUGUAAGUAUGUCUGUGUGUGUGUCAGUCAGUAUGUCUGUCAGUGUAUGUGUCUGUGUGUGUAUGUAUGUAUGUCUGUGCUUCAGUAAGUGCUUCAGUAGCCAGCAAGCCAGCCAGCACACAGGCCGGCCAUCCAGCCAGCCCACAGGCCAGCCAGCCAGCCCACGGGCUGGCCAGUAGCCAGCCCACAGGCCACCAAUUAGCCCACAAGCCAGCCAGGCCAGUAGCCAGCCCACAGGCCUACAGCAAGCCACAGGCUUACAGCCAGCAAGCCCACAGCCUGCCAGUCGUAGCCAGCAAGUCACAGCCUGCCAGCCGCAGCCAGCAAGCCGCAGCCUGCCAGCCGCACCCAGCAAACCGCAGCCUGCCAGCUGCAGCCAGCAAGCCGCAGCCUGCCAGCCGCAGCCAGCAAGCCCACAGCCUGCCAGCCGCUGCCAGCAAGCCCACAGCCUGCUGGCAGUAGCCAGCAAGCCCACAGCCUGCCAGCAAGCCACAGCCUGCCAGCAAAUCACAGCCUGCCAGCCGCAGCCAGCAAGCCCACAGCCUUCCAGCAAGCCCACAGACUGCCAGCCAGCAACAGUAAUUAAGGUAAGAGGAGCCAACUUGGCCUAAGUAUCAGCGAGCUAUGUUGUGUUGCUAUAUUGUGAAUAGGAACCAGAGUGUUGGAGAGACCCCCCUCCAGGCCCCAUUAGACUCCAUUGUAUUCUCUAAUGGGGCCUGGAGGAGAUUCUUUCUAACACACUCUCUAAAGGACACUGAGAUAGCCUCUGCUAGAAUGACCCCCCUCCACUGCCUUUUAGCCCUCAAUUGUAGUCUCUACUGGGGCCUGGAGGCGACUGUUUCCAGCAGAGGCUAUCUAAUCGACGCUGAGAUGGCCUCUGUUAGAAAGACCCCCUUCCAAGCCCAUUAGCCCUCAAUUGUAGUCUCUACUGGGGCCUCGAAGGGAUUAUUGCACUUUUGUUCCUUGUGUCUAAAGAUUGUGUAGGGUGUGGCUGGAGGCGGGACAAGGGUGGCGCUUGCUGCGGAGCAUGGGUGGGGCCUGUAAGGGGGCCCUUGAUUUAUUUUGCCCGGGGGCCCUGAGGGUUCUCAGUCCGACCCUGGCUUCCAAUAUGGCUAUUUAGGCCUUAAAUUUGAAAUUUACUUUGAAUUCCAGACAAUUUUUACUUUAGUGAAUUACUCAAUACAAUGUCAUAAGGAAACACAGCAAAGAUUUUAGGAGUUGUAGGUCAUCAGCUUUCACAUGCCUUCCAAUUAUCCAGAUUUUUCCAGGUAGCUACAGACUUUCAUGUCCUGUCCUGCUGUCCAGACUUUGUCCCCUGGUUUUCAAUUUUUGUGGACACCAGGAACUAUCUACAAAAAGUAUAGUGCAAGUGCAUUAUUAUUAUUAUUCUACCUUCUCCAAUCCUUGACCUUGACCUGUCUCCGAUUUUCUGUAUUUUGUAUUAGAACUAUAUUCUUUGCUCCUUACUUUAAGCCCUGACACUGUAAGAUCCAGUAAUACACACUAUAUAUUUUAAUUAUUCCCUCUAGUUUGCGUUCUAGAGUAGGACCUUGACAAUAUGACAGGGCCUUUGAAACUUGGGGCAACCAAUAGCAUCAUGUGAGGCUAGGAUGGAGGAUUUGGUCAUAAUAUAAUUNNNNNNNNNNNNNNNNNNNNNNNNNNNNNNNNNNNNNNNNNNNNNNNNNNNNNNNNNNNNNNNNNNNNNNNNNNNNNNNNNNNNNNNNNNNNNNNNNNNNAGUGUCCCAUCAACCAAACUUUCAAACCUGAAAGGAAAUAAAAUUAGUUGCGAGGAGACAAAUGCCCCCCCCCCCUUUCCCAAUUUCCUACCCAACGCUUACUUACACCAGCCUGUCAGGCCUCACAUACGUGCGGAACCGCAUGGAUUCCCACCUCCCGAUCCGCUUAAUCCGCUCGUCCCCCAAACCAAGGCGUGCUGCCUCCGUCGCUGCGCCUAUGCGGAAUGAGUGCGUCCCAAAUUGCUUGGGCUCCAAGCCCAGCCUCUGUAAACCCGCUCGAAAAACCCGCAGAAAUUGGAAGCGGGACAGCGCCGUCCCAUCAGCAUGCAGGAAAAAACUACCAGCCAUCCCGGGACGGACAUCCAAGUACCGCGCCCCGCAAGCCACCGGGCACGCCCUUGAACCCGGUAACUCAUACAACACCACAGAGCACCCUUUACCAAACACGUCCGUUUUAGAGCGGCGCAACCUGAUCCGCACCCUGUCGUUACAUAAGUCCACGUCGUCGAGCAGCAAUCCGACGGCCCCUUUCCUGUUGGGGCUCACCAGCUCGCCAAUCCGGAAGGCUCCGAAGAACGCCCAUACAAACGCUCCCGAAAAUAGCGCCACCUCAAAAGGGGAAUGACACAACCCAGCCAACACUCCUAACAACCCUUGCAACACCGAGAACGACACCGGUCUUCUCGUGUCCCCAAACUUCUUACCCUUCCGAAAACCUCGUAUCGCCUGACGUAUCAUGAAAUUCUUAGUAAUGUCCUCCCACCCAUUGAACUUAAAUAAAAAGGCCAGGGCAGACAUAUACCUGUCCACCAUGGCCGGCGAAGCCUGUCUUGAGAACAGGCGACACAGCAACCAUAGCAGCACGUCCCCCCGCUGCUCCUCCGAAAAAACGCCUCCUACCUGUUGAACUGUCUCCUCCCAUUCCUUCCAAACCUUAACAUACGACGACCACGUGCUUGGCGCCAAUGAGUUCCUUAUGUACUCCCCAAGCAUGACGUCCCGAGCCGCCACAUCUCGUCCGGGCAUGCUUGCCCCAUCUCCUGGGCGUCUGGCGCCGCUUCCCGGAAUCGUUCCCACUGAAAACGAGAAAGCGUAUCAGCCACCACAUUCAACAUACCAGGGAUGUGCUUAGCCCUAAACACCACAUUGAAGGACAUGCAAAGAAGUACAAACCGCCGCAACAAACACAAGACCGGGGGGGAAGACGCAGACAAACUGUUUAUCGCCUGCACCACAGACAUGUUAUCCGAGUGGAACACGAUGUGCCUGUUUGCCAACGCCGGCCCCCAUAAGCCCAUCGCAACCACGACCGGAAAUAAUUCCAAAAACGCCAAAUUCCUUAUUAGCGGGCUUUCUUUCCACGCUGCAGGCCACUCCUCAGCGCACCAAUUACCCGCAAGAUAAGCCCCAAAACCGACACUGCCCGAAGCAUCAGUGUACAGCCCCACCUCUGUUGCCGCCGCCGGGUCCCUAAAGAACACCUUACCAUUAAAAUCCUGUAGGAACUGGUCCCACACCCUUAAGUCCGCCUUCAUAUCCGCUGAGACCCUAACGUAGUGCGAUGGCCAACGCACCCCACUUGUCGCACGUGCCAGUCGCCUGCAGAAAACCCUCCCCAUUGGUAUCACCCGGCACGCGAAGUUCAGGCUCCCCACCAAUGAUUGAAGCCCCCGCAGCGUCACCUUCUUAGCCCUCCCUACCGUGGCCACCCGCUCCCUCAGAUCCACUAGUUUGUCUGAAGGUAACCGACAUUCGCCUCUCACGGAAUCGAUUUCCAACCCCAAAAAACUAAGGCACGUUGUGGGCCCAACCGUCUUGUCUCCCGCCAAGGGAACCCCGAAAGAGUGUGCAACCCAGUGAAACACUUCCAGCACCUGUCUACACCGGCCCGUUCCCUGCGGGCCGACACAGAGGAAGUCGUCAAGAUAGUGCACCACCGCACCCCCUGCCGAUUCCUUCCGCACCACCCAUUCCAAAAACGUGCUAAAUUUCUCAAAAUAAGCGCACGAUAUGGAACAGCCCAUUGGUAAACACAGAUCCACGAAAUAACCCCCAUCAAGAUAGCACCCGAGCAAAUGAUGGCAUUUGGGGUGUAUAGGGAGCAGCCGAAAGGCUGCCUCCACAUCCACUUUCGCCAUCAGCGCCCCUCGCCCCAUUCUCCGGACCAACUCGACAGCCUUGUCGAAUGACGUAUAAGAGACGGAGAUGAGGGCCGCGUCAAUGUCAUCAUUUACCGACGCCCCUUUUGGGUACGAUAAAUGAUGUAUCAACCUGAACUUACCCGCUUCCUUCUUGGGAACCACGCCGAGUGGGGAUAUCCGUAGGUCCACCAACGGCGGCUCCAAGAAUGGGCCCGCCAUUCUCCCCAGCUGCACUUCCUUGCUCAACUUCUCCCGCGCUACCCCCGGGUGCUCCCGAACUGACUUGAGAUUACCACACAUCGUUCCCGGUCCCCUAACCACGAAGGGAAUAACAAACCCGAAAUCCCUGCCACAAAAAGGCCGCAUCCGCCCUAUUGGCGUACUGCCUUAGCCAAGGCAACAUCACGUCUACUUUCACUGGGGACGCCCCCAGCGGUAACAGCGGGGGGCGCUGCCCCUCCGGACCCCCCUCCCCCUCCCAGCUUACCUUUCUUGAAGCACCGGCUGGCGCCAUGCGCCCCCCCGCAGCCGGAACAUUCGUGUCUGAACCUGCAGGAAUUCCCCCACUUGCAGUGUCCCUCGUUGUACAUCCAGCAGAAGCCUUUCUUUUGCCCAGCCGACACAGCACCCCCUGCGGCCGUGCCGGCUGUCCCAAGAAAGCGCGCCGCCUUUUGAGCCAUCAUAAGGCGCAUCCAUAACGGCAGAUCCAUUUGAUCCCACCGCAUGCUCGUGUUCACCGCUAGCCGUUGUCGAAAUUGCUCGUCAUACCUCCACCACGCCAAUCCCCCGUAUGUUCGAUAUGCAUCGCCUAUCCCAUCCAAGUAGCAAAAAAGUUCAGAGCAACGCCCCGGGUUCUUUUCCCCUAUCACGCUAGCCAGAAUACAGAAAGCCCGUAGCCAAUUCCCAAAAGUUUUCGGUAUCUUGCGAUACCUCCGCCUUUUUUCCUCCUCCUCUUUCUUGGCGUCCUUUUUAUCCUCCUCUUUCAAGUCCAAGAAUUCCUCGAGGGGAAGAAGGGAAAAGAUUUCCACAAACUCACCUUUCCAAAUCUUAUCCUUUACCUCUGUUUUUAAGUGGCACCCCAGGGGGCCCGCAAAGGACACGUGCACGUUUUGCCGCGCCGCAUCCGGGACAUCGCUACCCCCUUCCGUGGGUUCCCCCCCACCAUCGGUCAACCCCGCCGACCCCGUCGCGUCGCCGGCCUCGCCUCCAUGUGUCCCCGCCGGUACCGCCCCCGCGUGCUCCACCGCCGCGUCCCGACUACCUUCCUGUGACCAUACCCGCCCGAAUUCCGAGGGGGACCCACCCUUGUCCGACCAAGCGUCUAAAAAUACUUUCAAAUCACUCAACAACUGUCCAGAGUGUCGUGCAUGUGUUGACUCACCGCUCAAGCCCCUGGCCGCAGCUGACCGCAGGGGCGUCGUCCUUCCGCCCACCAUUCCGGGAGCCGGAGUGUCGUGUUGUCGCCGACUCCCAUCCGCCUGGUCCCGCCUCGAGACCGUAGGGGUAUUGCUCCGUGACCUGCAGGGAGAAGAAAACCUGGGUAGUCUGUUCAGCGUAGGGUCUACCCGCCCUUCCUCCCCACGUUCCAGCUGCCUUGCAGAACGACUCCCCCUGUAAUCCGCUCCCCUUGAGUGAACUUGUACUCUCCUGUCUGGUGAAUCAGACGUGCUACGUCGACUCCUCUGCCUUCUAUCCCUAGACAGGGACCUCCCACAGCCUUCCCUGCAACAGGACCUAGCUGCGCUGCAUCUGCUCCGCACUGGUGACCUCUCCCCGCUUCCUCGACUCCCUGCUCUGCUCCUUGUGCUGCUGCGCCUGGCGCUCAUGCUGCGCCGUUCCGUUCUCCUCUCACUCCUUGCGUCCUCUCCGUCCAUAUACUGACCCUGGGAGCAGCCAGAAGGACCCUCCCGCCUGCUGCCACCACCCCUGUCACCUCCCUCUAGGGUGGGUCUACGUCUGUCUCCCACUGCUGUUGCGCCUGGCUUCCCUCUAGCCGUCCUUCCCGUUAAAGAAUCCUGUCCCUGGCUGAUCGCCGUGCGCCCUGAUCCAGCCGUCUCCUGCGCACUAAAGCCACCACCGACAUCCUCCCUCCUGACCCCUGCCUGGGCCGUCCCUGCGCUGACCUCGCCGCCCCAGCCUCCCCCAGACCCAUGGGGGGCUGCUCUUGUCUCCACACUCCCCCUAACCACAUUCUCCUGCCCCACAGCGGUGCCACUGGUGGCUGACUCACCGGGACGUUCCAGCUCUGUGAUCCCGCCCACGUGACCGUCCUCCGUCCUGGCCGCCGACCCGGCCGCCGAAUUGGCAGCCACCGCUCCAUCUCCCCUGCCUGCCGCCGACCCACGCGGCGUGCGUCGUCCAGCCGCCGGGUGCUUUACGGCCGUCCUCGCCAGACCGCAGCCGCGCCUGCCAGCCCGAGCCGUGCUCCUUCCCGGCUCCACGACCGGGACCUCUCCUGCCCCCGCGGACGUUCCUCCUCCCUCUGAAGGGCUUCUACGGCGUCUCGCCGCGGGCCCAGCACCCGGGCUCAGCCGCUGCGGCGGCCUCGUCCUCCUGGCCGGUCGUCGCGCCGGUACCGAUGCGGAAGGCCCGGCGGCCCCCAGCUGCUGAUGUAGCCAUUCGAGGCCACGGUCCCUCACGGCCGCCCGCACUCCCUCCAGAAGCUCCUCCAACGCCGCCAUCGACCUGCAGGGAAACAAAGAAAAAAGGAGGGAACCUCUCUGGCCUGCAACAAUCUACAGGUAAGAGAGGCUCCAGUUAAAAUGGCCCCUAUUCUAAUAUGGCCGCUCUAUAUAUCCCUACUCUCCACCCCCCAAAACAUCACUCCCAAAACCCUUCCCACAAACUUAAGCCCAUGCCCACUCCCUGGCUCUGUCAAGGCCCACUCCCCAUACUGCGUUGCUCCAUGGGCUACCAUAAUAUUUAUUAAUAAAGGCUAAUCAAACAAAUAAACAAUACUUAUACAUUUGAAAUAGGCUAGUAUAUGUUGCUACUAAAACUAAUCAUUGACUGAAUGGAAAGUAGGCUAAAUUAACAUAGUAAAACAGGCAUAGACACAUGAUACAGUUACCACUCCAUUGAUCAGCAGCUGAGAGUAAGAGAGAGAGGGUGUGUAUAGUGGGGAGAGGGGAGAGAGAGAGAGAAGGUGAAGAGAGGUAAUUCAAAGAGAGAGAGAGAAUGUGCUAUUCAAAGUGGUUUAAACAGGUUAGUCCCUCCUUCUGCUGGACACACCUCCCUUAGUCAAUCCCUUAGGAUGUAACAGAACCAGAGUGCCUCCUGGGUGAAGGGGGAUUGCAUUGGAAUGGAAUGGAGGAGGAGUUUGUCUGGUGAAAGGCCAUGUGCUUCACAGAGGACUCCAUUAUUGCCUAAGGGUAGAAUGGGGGCUUUAAUCCCUGUAUUAGAACACAAUAACACUUCAUUGGCAUACAGUUUGGCUGUUAAUCACAUCCCCCCACUUAUUACAUCUUCCAACAACAUUGAAUUAAUCUAGCAUACCAGGGCCAGCACAAGCUCAAUUAACAAAAAAUGGAAAGGUGGAUCAUAGGUAGAAUAGAUGUGAGACAAUCAAAUGAAGAACAAUGAAAUGCUAAAACUAUAUUGGGCCUACAGCGAAGAUGUAUGUGAUAAAAGCUGUAGUUAAAUUGUACACCUAGUGAAGGUGUUACAUAGAGGAGUUAUAACUGGUGAAAUGCGCAGUUAUAUUUUUUGCUGCGAACACCAAGUACUUCAAGUUUUAUUUUGCAACGAAAAAAAAACUGUCAAAAGUUUUUACAACUUCGAUACAAUAUAGGACAGUGUGUGUAAAUUUGAUUUUAAAAGCAUGUAUUUAAUCUGAAAACUUAAAAAAAGUGUUAGUAUCCUGCAAUUACGCAUUCCCUUUUAUUUUUGCUUUAUUGCAACUCAAAGGAACAUUCCAGUCACCUUAACAAUGUCAUGUCAAUUAAGUAGUUAUGGUGCAAGGAGGCCACAGGCUCUUUCUUACCUUAAGGGAUUAAACCAUUUUUAAAUGGCUGCCUCCAGCGCUGGAUCUACAGUUCUCCCAACAGAAACUAGCCCAUAUAACCCAAAAGAAAGGGAAGGGGGGCUUUUACUAAAGAGCCGGCAAGUAUUGUCUCUUUUUCUUACAUUUGGUCAAAAAACACCUGGGGCUUGAGCCUAAAAUAAUCUGGUAAUCCCUUUCUAAAGUUCCACUUCUGGACCCCAAACUCCAUCUCUGACCCUUCCCGAUUCCACUGCUUAAUAUGCCUCUUGGCACACAGUUACUUACAGACACACACAUAGAUAUACACACACAUAGAUAUACACACACAUGGAGACACAGACAGCCAGGCACAGAUGUGCACAAGUACACACAGGCAUAGACACACACACAGAAUGGUAUUGAUAAACACAUACAUUGACAGGCACAGAUAUGCACACAGGCAUACUCAGGCACAUCUUACAGUUAUAUGUAUUGUAGUUUAUCACAGCGCUCCACAGCAAUAAAACACAGAGUCAUGUCAAUUUUGUAUGUAAGUAUCACAGAGUUUCACUGUAAUAAACCUCAUAAUUGUUGGUAAAUUGUCUUUGGUAUCUCUAUAAGUGGAAGACUAGAAGAUAAAGUGGUACAGGGGCAGUAAACGGUAUUAGAAAUGCAUUUGCAGGCUGUUUGUCAAAAUGUGUGUGUAAAGGGUAUGUUUGUGGUAUAGCGUGUUUAUAAAUAGAUCUGUUUGUUUUGUGUUUGUUGUUUAGUACAGGUGAUACUCGAAAAAUUGAAAUAUCGUGCAAAAGUUCAUUAAUUUCAUUAAUGCAACGUAAAAGGGGAAAUUAAUAUAUGAGAUAGACGCAUUACAUGCAAAGCAACAUAGUUCAAGCCUUGUUUUUUCAUAAGUGCGAUUAUUAUGGCUUACAGCUCAUGAAAACCCCAAACCCACUCAGUAAAUUAGAAUAUUACAUGCAAUCAAUAAAACAAGGAGUGUACAUAGAACAAUAUUGGACCUCUGAACAGUAUAAGCAUGCAUAUGGAUCAGUACAUGCAGGGCCGUCUUUAACGCGGGGCAAACGGGGCAGCUGCCCCGGGCCCAGUUGCUCCUGGGGGCCCAGAGCAGCUGCUCUGUGGGCCCCGCGAUUUGCGCAGGCCCUGCGGUGCGGCUCCCGCACACUGAGGAGGCUCCCCGGGUGGCCCAUGCACUAAGGGCCACCCGGGGAGCAUGUGGCAGCAGGGACCCGGUCGGGCGCUGUGGCGCUUAAACAGCGCGACCGGUCCCCUCUUCCGGUUCUGCAGCCGGCUGGGAGGAAGUGUCGUCACUUCCUCCCACCGGAGAUAGCCGUGCGGGAGGAGGAAGGCAGGGAGGAGGGGAGUUCCAGAGGAGAACUCCCAUCUGCCUCAGCCUGCCACUGGACCAGGGAAACCACCCUCCAGGAAAAGGUAAGAACCUGGAGGGUGGCUAAAUGUAUGUCAGUAGGUCUGUCUGUGUGUUUAUGUCUGUGUGUGUGUGUGUCAGUAUGUCUGUGUGUGUGUGUGUGUGUGUGUGUGUGUGUGUGUGUGUGUGUGUGUGUGUGUGUGUGUGUGUGUGUGUGUGUGUGUGUCAGUGUGUCUGUGUGUAUGCCAGUAUGUCUGUGUGUGUGUGUGUCAGUAUGUCUGUGUGUAUGCCAGUAUGUCUGUGUGUGUAUGCCAGUAUGUUUGUGUGUGUAUGC